Molecule: ribosomal RNA, 565 nt
Filed under: uncultured bacterium
Lineage: Bacteria
Description: partial 16S ribosomal RNA
Rfam family: Bacterial small subunit ribosomal RNA
Source: RNAcentral
UGGGAAUUUUGGACAAUGGGCGAAAGCCUGAUCCAGCAAUGCCGCGUGUGUGAAGAAGGCCUUCGGGUUGUAAAGCACUUUUGUCCGGAAAGAAAUCCUUGGCUCUAAUACAGUCGGGGGAUGACGGUACCGGAAGAAUAAGCACCGGCUAACUACGUGCCAGCAGCCGCGGUAAUACGUAGGGUGCAAGCGUUAAUCGGAAUUACUGGGCGUAAAGCGUGCGCAGGCGGUUUGCUAAGACCGAUGUGAAAUCCCCGGGCUCAACCUGGGAACUGCAUUGGUGACUGGCAGGCUAGAGUAUGGCAGAGGGGGGUAGAAUUCCACGUGUAGCAGUGAAAUGCGUAGAGAUGUGGAGGAAUACCGAUGGCGAAGGCAGCCCCCUGGGCCAAUACUGACGCUCAUGCACGAAAGCGUGGGGAGCAAACAGGAUUAGAUACCCUGGUAGUCCACGCCCUAAACGAUGUCAACUAGUUGUUGGGGAUUCAUUUCCUUAGUAACGUAGCUAACGCGUGAAGUUGACCGCCUGGGGAGUACGGUCGCAAGAUUAAAACUCAAAUGAAUUGAC